Long non-coding RNA from Cyprinus carpio carpio, 1353 nucleotides. Lineage: Eukaryota; Metazoa; Chordata; Actinopteri; Cypriniformes; Cyprinidae. The record is from Ensembl.
AUUUUUAUUUUUUUUUUAACCUUCCGGGGGUUUUUGGAGGCCUUAACAUACUCAAAAACUCUUGAAAAUUGGCACACACAUUGGAACCUGCGGCCAUCAGGGCGCCGCAGAGGCUGGGACCCGGGCGUGGCACAGGGGCUCUACGGCGCCCCCUGGAACACAGUCAGAAAUCUUGAACCAUAGCUCACACAUACUUGCAUGUAUUUAUAUGAAACUCUGUACACUUAUAGAUCUCAUUGAGCCGAACAACUUUCGCGCUCUAUGACAAAGGCUCCGCCCAACAGGAAGUCAGCUAUUCAGGGCUGUUUAAAAAAAGCAUGCUCUGGAAUUUGAAAUACUCCUCUGAGGUUUUCCACCCGUUCUCCACGAAACUCGGUGAACAUGAUCUCAAGACAUUGGGGAUGAAAAAUUGCCAGGGGAUUUUUGAUAUCUCGAACGGUUUGUCCGUGGUGAGGCGUUGAAAUUAGGGCAAAAAAUGAGAAACAGGAAAUGUCUAAUAACAUCCACAUACACUACCUGAGUUUUAUCAAACUUCAUCGGAUUGUUCGAUGUAUGAUGCCGAUCGAAUAGAUGUGACUAUUAGGAGUCAAAGGUAUAGCGCCACCAACUGGCAGCAGGAAGUGUGUCAUUUUCAAAAUGCUUUGAAUUCAGCAUCUUAUUUUCACUCGAUUUGCUUCAAACUUCAUCAGAAUAAUGACAAAACACGGCCGAUGUAAAUCUGUUGUGGGGAUAUUGAUAUCUAAUAUAGUGUUGCCGUGGCAACGUGUCAAUCUUGAAUAUUCUGUUCUGGUGAUUUUGAGGCAGAUAAAAUGCUCAGAAUUACACAAAACUCCAAACACAUAUCAGUAUUAAUGAUAGCUAGACAUUGGCAAAAGCACAUGAAAGGGCGUGGAGGAGGCACUCUAUAGCGCCACCUUUUGUCAAAAGUGGGGGGGUUAGUUUUAGCUAUAAACACCAAACUUGGUACAUAUAUUGUUCUUAUCAAGACGGACAACUUUCUAAUUUACAGUCAUCAGCUGCGACCUACAGGAAGUCGGCUAUUUUGGUUUAAAUGUGGAUUUUUGGAAAAAAAUAUGGCUGUGAAUUAAUGCAUACUCCGCAGAGGAGAAUUACACUAUACACACCAAACUUUUUCUACAUGAUGCCAAUAUACUGAAGAUGUUAAAUUGCGAACGGGUUUAGGAUACCUUGAACGGUGUGGCCAUAGCGAUUUAUUAAAGUAACAUUAAAAAAUGCAACAGUUAUUUUCCUAUAUCUUUUGAAUUCUUUAUUCUAACCCUUCAUAAUUUUUUACACAUGUAGUAGAAGUCAUUCUUAGAAAACACAGUAAUUUUCAUAAAUUUAUCAUGUUCA